This 1189-nucleotide ribosomal RNA is filed under the name Acinetobacter calcoaceticus. RNAcentral's name for it is "bacterial SSU rRNA". It matches the Rfam family "Bacterial small subunit ribosomal RNA", at positions 37 to 1222 of the family's 1533-position model. The record is from RNAcentral. Lineage: Bacteria; Pseudomonadati; Pseudomonadota; Gammaproteobacteria; Moraxellales; Moraxellaceae.
UGCCGGCAGCUUACACAUGCAAGUCGAGCGGAGAGAGGUAGCUUGCUACUGAUCUUAGCGGCGGACGGGUGAGUAAUGCUUAGGAAUCUGCCUAUUAGUGGGGGACAACAUUUCGAAAGGAAUGCUAAUACCGCAUACGUCCUACGGGAGAAAGCAGGGGAUCUUCGGACCUUGCGCUAAUAGAUGAGCCUAAGUCGGAUUAGCUAGUUGGUGGGGUAAAGGCCUACCAAGGCGACGAUCUGUAGCGGGUCUGAGAGGAUGAUCCGCCACACUGGGACUGAGACACGGCCCAGACUCCUACGGGAGGCAGCAGUGGGGAAUAUUGGACAAUGGGCGCAAGCCUGAUCCAGCCAUGCCGCGUGUGUGAAGAAGGCCUUAUGGUUGUAAAGCACUUUAAGCGAGGAGGAGGCUACUUUAGUUAAUACCUAGAGAUAGUGGACGUUACUCGCAGAAUAAGCACCGGCUAACUCUGUGCCAGCAGCCGCGGUAAUACAGAGGGUGCAAGCGUUAAUCGGAUUUACUGGGCGUAAAGCGCGCGUAGGCGGCUAAUUAAGUCAAAUGUGAAAUCCCCGAGCUUAACUUGGGAAUUGCAUUCGAUACUGGUUAGCUAGAGUGUGGGAGAGGAUGGUAGAAUUCCAGGUGUAGCGGUGAAAUGCGUAGAGAUCUGGAGGAAUACCGAUGGCGAAGGCAGCCAUCUGGCCUAACACUGACGCUGAGGUGCGAAAGCAUGGGGAGCAAACAGGAUUAGAUACCCUGGUAGUCCAUGCCGUAAACGAUGUCUACUAGCCGUUGGGGCCUUUGAGGCUUUAGUGGCGCAGCUAACGCGAUAAGUAGACCGCCUGGGGAGUACGGUCGCAAGACUAAAACUCAAAUGAAUUGACGGGGGCCCGCACAAGCGGUGGAGCAUGUGGUUUAAUUCGAUGCAACGCGAAGAACCUUACCUGGCCUUGACAUAGUAAGAACUUUCCAGAGAUGGAUUGGUGCCUUCGGGAACUUACAUACAGGUGCUGCAUGGCUGUCGUCAGCUCGUGUCGUGAGAUGUUGGGUUAAGUCCCGCAACGAGCGCAACCCUUUUCCUUAUUUGCCAGCGAGUAAUGUCGGGAACUUUAAGGAUACUGCCAGUGACAAACUGGGAGGAAGGCGGGGACGACGUCAAGUCAUCAUGGCCCUUACGGCCAGGGCUACCACC